Molecule: ribosomal RNA, 2990 nt
Filed under: Salmonella enterica subsp. enterica serovar Typhimurium
Lineage: Bacteria; Pseudomonadati; Pseudomonadota; Gammaproteobacteria; Enterobacterales; Enterobacteriaceae
Description: 23S ribosomal RNA
Rfam family: Bacterial large subunit ribosomal RNA
Source: RNAcentral
GGUUAAGCGACUAAGCGUACACGGUGGAUGCCCUGGCAGUCAGAGGCGAUGAAGGGCGUGCUAAUCUGCGAUAAGCGCCGGUAAGGUGAUAUGAACCGUUAUAACCGGCGAUACCCGAAUGGGGAAACCCAGUGUGAUUCGUCACACUAUCAUUAACUGAAUCCAUAGGUUAAUGAGGCGAACCGGGGGAACUGAAACAUCUAAGUACCCCGAGGAAAAGAAAUCAACCGAGAUUCCCCCAGUAGCGGCGAGCGAACGGGGAGGAGCCCAGAGCCUGAAUCAGCAUGUGUGUUAGUGGAAGCGUCUGGAAAGGCGCGCGAUACAGGGUGACAGCCCCGUACACAAAAGCGCAUGUGCUGUGAGCUCGAUGAGUAGGGCGGGACACGUGGUAUCCUGUCUGAAUAUGGGGGGACCAUCCUCCAAGGCUAAAUACUCCUGACUGACCGAUAGUGAACCAGUACCGUGAGGGAAAGGCGAAAAGAACCCCGGCGAGGGGAGUGAAAAAGAACCUGAAACCGUGUACGUACAAGCAGUGGGAGCACCCUUCGGGGUGUGACUGCGUACCUUUUGUAUAAUGGGUCAGCGACUUAUAUUCUGUAGCAAGGUUAACCGUAUAGGGGAGCCGGAGGGAAACCGAGUCUUAAUUGGGCGUUAAGUUGCAGGGUAUAGACCCGAAACCCGGUGAUCUAGCCAUGGGCAGGUUGAAGGUUGGGUAACACUAACUGGAGGACCGAACCGACUAAUGUUGAAAAAUUAGCGGAUGACCUGUGGCUGGGGGUGAAAGGCCAAUCAAACCGGGAGAUAGCUGGUUCUCCCCGAAAGCUAUUUAGGUAGCGCCUCGUGAAUUCAUCUCCGGGGGUAGAGCACUGUUUCGGCUAGGGGGCCAUCCCGGCUUACCAACCCGAUGCAAACUGCGAAUACCGGAGAAUGUUAUCACGGGAGACACACGGCGGGUGCUAACGUCCGUCGUGAAGAGGGAAACAACCCAGACCGCCAGCUAAGGUCCCAAAGUCAUGGUUAAGUGGGAAACGAUGUGGGAAGGCCCAGACAGCCAGGAUGUUGGCUUAGAAGCAGCCAUCAUUUAAAGAAAGCGUAAUAGCUCACUGGUCGAGUCGGCCUGCGCGGAAGAUGUAACGGGGCUAAACCAUGCACCGAAGCUGCGGCAGCGAACGUAUCACCCAAGACAACUUUACGGAGUUGACGAUUGACGGAGCGAAGCGACGUCAAAGCGUUCAUUAAAGUCGAGUUGGCUUAGGGAUACGUUCGUUGGGUAGGGGAGCGUUCUGUAAGCCUGUGAAGGUGUGUCGUGAGGCAUGCUGGAGGUAUCAGAAGUGCGAAUGCUGACAUAAGUAACGAUAAAGCGGGUGAAAAGCCCGCUCGCCGGAAGACCAAGGGUUCCUGUCCAACGUUAAUCGGGGCAGGGUGAGUCGACCCCUAAGGCGAGGCCGAAAGGCGUAGUCGAUGGGAAACGGGUUAAUAUUCCCGUACUUGGUGUUACUGCGAAGGGGGGACGGAGAAGGCUAUGUUGGCCGGGCGACGGUUGUCCCGGUUUAAGCGUGUAGGUGUGUGUUCCAGGUAAAUCCGGUUCACUUUAACACUGAGGCGUGACGACGAGGCACUACGGUGCUGAAGCAACAAAUGCCCUGCUUCCAGGAAAAGCCUCUAAGCAUCAGGUAACAUCAAAUCGUACCCCAAACCGACACAGGUGGUCAGGUAGAGAAUACCAAGGCGCUUGAGAGAACUCGGGUGAAGGAACUAGGCAAAAUGGUGCCGUAACUUCGGGAGAAGGCACGCUGACACGUAGGUGAAGUGAUUUACUCAUGGAGCUGAAGUCAGUCGAAGAUACCAGCUGGCUGCAACUGUUUAUUAAAAACACAGCACUGUGCAAACACGAAAGUGGACGUAUACGGUGUGACGCCUGCCCGGUGCCGGAAGGUUAAUUGAUGGGGUCAGCGCAAGCGAAGCUCCUGAUCGAAGCCCCGGUAAACGGCGGCCGUAACUAUAACGGUCCUAAGGUAGCGAAAUUCCUUGUCGGGUAAGUUCCGACCUGCACGAAUGGCGUAAUGAUGGCCAGGCUGUCUCCACCCGAGACUCAGUGAAAUUGAACUCGCUGUGAAGAUGCAGUGUACCCGCGGCAAGACGGAAAGACCCCGUGAACCUUUACUAUAGCUUGACACUGAACAUUGAGCCUUGAUGUGUAGGAUAGGUGGGAGGCUUUGAAGUGUGGACGCCAGUCUGCAUGGAGCCGACCUUGAAAUACCACCCUUUAAUGUUUGAUGUUCUAACGUGGACCCGUAAUCCGGGUUGCGGACAGUGUCUGGUGGGUAGUUUGACUGGGGCGGUCUCCUCCUAAAGAGUAACGGAGGAGCACGAAGGUUGGCUAAUCCUGGUCGGACAUCAGGAGGUUAGUGCAAUGGCAUAAGCCAGCUUGACUGCGAGCGUGACGGCGCGAGCAGGUGCGAAAGCAGGUCAUAGUGAUCCGGUGGUUCUGAAUGGAAGGGCCAUCGCUCAACGGAUAAAAGGUACUCCGGGGAUAACAGGCUGAUACCGCCCAAGAGUUCAUAUCGACGGCGGUGUUUGGCACCUCGAUGUCGGCUCAUCACAUCCUGGGGCUGAAGUAGGUCCCAAGGGUAUGGCUGUUCGCCAUUUAAAGUGGUACGCGAGCUGGGUUUAGAACGUCGUGAGACAGUUCGGUCCCUAUCUGCCGUGGGCGCUGGAGAACUGAGGGGGGCUGCUCCUAGUACGAGAGGACCGGAGUGGACGCAUCACUGGUGUUCGGGUUGUCAUGCCAAUGGCACUGCCCGGUAGCUAAAUGCGGAAGAGAUAAGUGCUGAAAGCAUCUAAGCACGAAACUUGCCCCGAGAUGAGUUCUCCCUGAGACUUUAGGUCUCCUGAAGGAACGUUGAAGACGACGACGUUGAUAGGCCGGGUGUGUAAGCGCAGCGAUGCGUUGAGCUAACCGGUACUAAUGAACCGUGAGGCUUAACCUU